AUUUUUUUAAAUUUUGUUUAUAUAUUUAUUUAUUUAUUUUGAGAUGAAGUCUCAUUCUGUUGCCUAGGCUGGAGUACAGUGGCACAAUCUUGGCUCACUGCAACCUCUGCCUCCCAGGUUCAAGCAAUUCUCUCAGCCUCCCAAGUAGCUGGGAUUAUAGGCAUAUGCCACCAUGCCAGGCUAAUUUUUGUAUUUUUUGUAGACACAGGGUUUUGCCAUGUUGGCCAGGCUGGUCUCAAACUCCUGACCAGCCCUCCUUGACCUUCCAAAGUGCUGGGAUUAUAGGCGUGAGCCAUUGCACCUGGCCCAGUUCCCUGGGAUACAUGUGUUUUAAUUCAUUUUCUGUUGCUAGUAACAGAAUACCUGAAACUGGGUAAUUUAUAAGGAAAAGAAAUUUAUUUCUUACAGUGAUGGAGGUUGAGAAGUCCAACUUCAAGGCACCACAUCUGGUGAGAGCCUUCAUUCCGAUGACAGCCUUCAUGCUGGUAAGAUUUUCUUCAGAGUUCCAAGGUGGUGCACGGCAUCACAUGGCGAAGGAAAUGAGCGUGCUAGCUCAGGUGUCUCUUCCUCUUCUUAUAAAGCCACCAGUCCCACUCCUGUGCUAGUAACUCUUUAAUCCAUCAACCCAUUAAUCCAUGAAUAGAUUAACCCAUGAGGCCUCUGCCCUCAGGACCCAAUCACCUCUUAAAGGCCUGACCUGUCAAUAUUGCCAUACUGGGGACUCAGUUUCAACAUGAGUUUUGAAAGGGACAAACAUUCAAUCCAUAGUAACAUGAGAGCUUUUCAAAGCCCUUCUUUGUUGAAGUAUGUCCUUCUCCAGCCUCUUUUUUCCCAGGCUUUUUGUUUUUUCUAUUGCUUGUGCAGCUGUUAUCCUUUGCUACAGGUGGCAAUAGCUAAUACAUUUGCCUUUAAAUUUGUUUGACAAACACCACCCUGGAAGUAGCCUCAACUCUGGGGAAGCUCCAAGACAGGUAAAAUACAGCAACCUGCAGCAGGAAAAUGGGCUUCAGUUUUCAAGUCUGCAGCUGAGUUGGGAAGUUGCGGACAGUAACCAGGUAAGUUAAAAUUCACAAAGCUCUGUUACUGACACUCAGCUUUUUUUUUUUUUAUCAUUAAGCUUUCCCCUGGUUGUUGUAACUUUUUUAUUGGAUUCUAAAGUUCUGAAAAAGUUCAUUGUGAUAAUUUUUGCAAGCUUUUCAUUGCUUUUGUGGAGACAUAAUGUUUUGGAGCUCUCUACUCUGCGAUUUUCACUGAUAUCUGUCCAAAGGAGAGAGUGGGAGAGAUGGAUCUUAUAUCACUCCAUAAAAGUGCAGCCUCUAGGCCAGAUCCCAUUAGAUUUGGCUGGGAGUCUAGGAUAAUUAAACAUUCACAUACUCUGUAACCCAGAAAUUUCACUAAUAUAUAUCCUACAACAACUUUUGCACAUGUGCAUAAAAGAAAUUCAUAAAGGCAUUCAUAGCAAGAUUGAAACUUUGUAUUCUACCUUCUUUUCUGAAAGCAUUGGAUACAAAGGUCUACGUCUCUGGCCCACUGCUGAAGUCACCUAGAAUUUUAAUUAUAUGGAUAAUUAUUUGGCAGAGUGCUUAAGGAGAAAUAAAAAAGGGUUUCAAAAAACUACUGAUUUUUUUUUUUAAGAGAAAUCUUGCUCUGUCACCCAGGCUAGAGUGCAGUGGCACGAUCUUGGCUCACUGCAACCUCCACUUUCCGGGUUCAAGUGAUUUUCCUGCCUCAGCCUCCUGAGUAGCUGGGAUUACAGGUGUCUGCCACCACGCCUGGCUAAUUUUUGUAUCUUUAGUAGAGACGGGGUUUCACCAUGUUGGCCAGGCUAGUCUUGAACUCCUGACCUCAAGUGAUCCUCCCACCUUGGCCUCCCAAAGGCGAGAGCCACCGCACCUGGCCUCAUUCCUUUUUUAUUCUGGGUAAUUUUAACAUAUCAUCUGACUGACAAGCUACUGCUAAUAAAAUAUAAACUGAAAAUAGAUUUUUUUCUUCCUUGUCUAGACUAUUUAAUUUUGUUCUUCUUUGCUAUUGUCUAGUUCUAGAAAAAGCGCUUAGUGUGAAAUUUGUGGGAAAGAUGCUGUUCAGAGUUUAAUUUCAUUAUGUAGUUAACCAAUGAAAAUCCAGCGGAAAAAAAAGGUAAACAUUUUUAGGAGAUGGUAAAAACUAUUUAAAAAAUGGAAAGUUCAUAGACAUAAUUUUUCUGAAAUAGAACAUUCAGUCAAUAGAGUUGAAAACUGAAUAAAUGAAUACAUGAUUGAAUGGUUGAUUCAAAUGCAUCAUUAAUUAAUUGGAAAUAAUUGACUGUGUCACUUGGUCCUAAAAAUAUUCCUCUAAGAAAUCAUUAGCAUUAUCUGGAAAACUUUAAAAAGUGAUACCCAAAGCCCAGUUUAAUUGAAUCAGAAUCUCUGGAGGAAGGGCUUAGCCAUUAUUAUUAUUAUUUUUUUUUUUUCUGAGAUGGAGUUUCACUCUUGUUGCCCAGGCUUGAGUGCAAUGGUGCGAUCUCAGUUCACUGCAACCUCCACCUCCCAGGUUUAAGUGAUUCUUCUGCCUCAGCCUCCCGAGUAGCUGGGGUUACAGGCGCAUGCCACCGUACCUGGCUAAUUUUUGUAUUUGUUGUAGAGAUGAGGUUUCACCAUGUUGUUGCACAGGCUGGUCUCGAACUCCUGAGCUCAAGUGAUCCGCCUGCCUCUGCCUCCCAAAGGGCAGAGAUUACAGGCAUGAGCCACUGCACAUGGCCCUUUUAGACCUCUUUUAAUCUUUGGGUUUCUUCAAAACCAUUUGCUUCCCUUGCAAUUUAUUUUUGGGAUAAACCAGUUGAUACUGUAGGGCUUCCCACAGUUUAGAUUUUGCUGAUUAUAACUUUAUGGUGUUAUUUAACAUGUUCCUUUGUCCCCUCUAUUCCGCAUAGAUUGUUCGUCUGGUAAGGAUAUAAUAAACUUAUUAAAUGUUAGCCCAUUGUGUCAUUCCUCCUUAGUAGGGGUUAAGAAUUAUGCUGCCUUCAGGAAGGGGUCUGCAUGUUGAGGUUGCCCAGGUCUGAGUGCAACUAGGAUAUACAAUGGGAGUUGAGAUCAUCAUUGUGGGGCAGGAUAGUGUAGAAAAUGGCAGGGAAGCUGCUCUUUGCCUCACCUCCUCACAGCCUCUGUUCUUGACAUCUGCCUCUCUCUUAGAGUGGUGUGGAACAUGUCUCUUCUCUGAACUCCCUCUCCUUUAGUCCUGUCACACUGAAGACAUUGCUGGAGGCAUUUCUGCCACCUGGGUGAAUCAAAGAACCAACUAAUUUGUGAGGAUGUGUAGAGGAGGCAUUCCUAACUUUCCACUUAUCUGUUAAGACCCAGUUGAAAUCUUUCAUCUUGGAGCGGGGGACAGUGAUCCUGUUCCCCCGUGCCCACCCCCAUCUGGAAGCACAGCUGAUCACUUUCUCCUUGGUAGAACAGCAUGCCUCACAUAUACCCCUGUUAUGCAUUUUGUUACAUGUCAUUUGAAUUAUGUAUCUCUCUACGUAAUUGUUUCAACUAUAAGAUGCACAAAUUCCUUGAGGUUGAGAACCAGGUCUUCUUUAUUUUUUUAACCCCAGGGCCAUGCACAGGCCCUGGUUGUAUCUGGCACGUUCCUGGCAGGAAGCAGAUGAUGCCUUCAAACUGGGUAAUCAAGGGCAGUUUAACAAUAUUAUAGGCAUGAGCCACCGCGCCUGGCCCAAUUAAUCCAUAUUUUUCUAGGGAAUGAAUCGUGAUAAAACCAGUGAAUUCCAUGGUUAUGAGCCCGCUGUCACAUUGCCACCUCUGAAAAGUGUAUCCCUUGCAGGGAGAUGUUUGAGUUUUGACACCAUUUGGGAUAGACAAGACAUUCUUUAAGUCCAUGAACUUUGGUGCUGGCAGACAUACUGGGGACAGGAAAGGCAAAUCCAUACUUGGAGCAAAUAUUUGUCUCUGUGAGGCUAAUUCUGCCUCCUACCUGAUGAAAGGGAUCCAAAGUUAUCUACCUGCAAUCAGAUGUCUUUGCUGGGUCUCUUUAAGGAACGGUGCCAUUUUAGGGUCUUAGUGUUGAUCUGCUGUGGCCGAUUGGACAUUGAGUUCUGGCAGAGGCCAGAUCAGUCUUGGUGAGAGUGUGCUACUGAGCCCAUGCAUAGCGUCCAUCCCUGCCAUAUGUGUGCUUUGUUCAUGGGCCAAUUAAGCAAGUACGUGGGAAGUGAGGGAAAGAGACUGAUAGAUAUCCACAGAUUGGAUCAUCUUGACCACAUGAUUAUUGUUAGAAACAGAAUUGUGGCCCCCAAAUUCAUAUAGUGAAGCCCUAAUUCCCCCAUGUGACUGUAUUUGGAGACAGGAGAUAAUUGAGAUCAUAAGGGUUGAGGCCUAAUCUCAUAGGAUCGCUGUCCUUAUAAGAAGUGGAAGAAACAUCAGAGAGCUCUCCCUCUCCACACACACAGAGGAAAGGCCACAUGGGGACAAGAGAGGGCAACUGUCUACAAAUCUGGAAGAGAGACUUCAGAAGAAACCAGCACUGAUGGCAUCUGAUCUUGGACUUCCAGCCUCUGGAUCUUUUCUGUGUCAUUUCCAGAUCUGCCAGAGCCUGAUCUCAUACACACUGAUGUGGUACAGGAAAUGCCACCUGAAAAUAUGGUACCUUGGCAUUUGAGGAAACAGUAGAAGGAGGUCAUAGAAACUAGAAAGAAUUCCUCCUUGCUCUUUGUCCCCCAAAGGAGCCAUAAAACCUGGGCCGAGUUUCUUCUGAAAAUAAGUUAUAAGAUCCUUAUUCCAGAGGGGUCCUGCCCUGUGCCUGGAGGAAAAGAAUGAAGACACAGAGAUGCCUUGAAGAAUCUGAACAAACAGCCCUUGCUAAGUUCCCCCCAGUUUAUUGACAUUAGAUUAGACCUUUUGUCCUCCAAUUAUACUUCUGUGUUCCUGAAAAUACACAUUUUCCCGUUUUUUCUUUUGUUUGCUUUUUUUGAUCUUCAUUUCUGAAGAUUCCCAUGUCAUGUAAAAUAUAUGUUAAACAAAU
Molecule: long non-coding RNA, 4995 nt
Filed under: Homo sapiens (human)
Lineage: Eukaryota; Metazoa; Chordata; Mammalia; Primates; Hominidae
Description: HSALNT0198971
Source: RNAcentral